UUUAUGGAGAGUUUGAUCCUGGCUCAGGAUGAACGCUGGCGGCGUGCCUAAUACAUGCAAGUCGAGCGAACGGACGAGAAGCUUGCUUCUCUGAUGUUAGCGGCGGACGGGUGAGUAACACGUGGAUAACCUACCUAUAAGACUGGGAUAACUUCGGGAAACCGGAGCUAAUACCGGAUAAUAUUUUGAACCGCAUGAUUCAAAAGUGAAAGACGGUCUUGCUGUCACUUAUAGAUGGAUCCGCGCUGCAUUAGCUAGUUGGUAAGGUAACGGCUUACCAAGGCAACGAUGCAUAGCCGACCUGAGAGGGUGAUCGGCCACACUGGAACUGAGACACGGUCCAGACUCCUACGGGAGGCAGCAGUAGGGAAUCUUCCGCAAUGGGCGAAAGCCUGACGGAGCAACGCCGCGUGAGUGAUGAAGGUCUUCGGAUCGUAAAACUCUGUUAUUAGGGAAGAA
Molecule: ribosomal RNA, 459 nt
Filed under: Staphylococcus aureus
Lineage: Bacteria; Bacillati; Bacillota; Bacilli; Caryophanales; Staphylococcaceae
Description: bacterial SSU rRNA
Rfam family: Bacterial small subunit ribosomal RNA
Source: RNAcentral